Molecule: long non-coding RNA, 642 nt
Organism: Triticum dicoccoides
Lineage: Eukaryota; Viridiplantae; Streptophyta; Magnoliopsida; Poales; Poaceae
Exons: 4
Source: RefSeq, a predicted model, not a curated record
UAACAUGGGUCCCCACUGGUGGUACAGCAUCAAGUUUGGAAGCAGCUGGAGUGAAUGUGAGAAAAGUUGAACAGCUUACACAUUUUCCUGAAAUGGUCUGGCAGCACCGCCGCGUCGACGACGAAGGUGGUGACCGCGGCGGCGAGCGGCGCGAGUUGGUGGCUACGGGAUUGGACGGCACGGCUCAUAUAUGUGCUUCUGACUAAUCCAGCUUCAUUUGGUCUAGCUGGGCAUUACUUUGAGUUCAUAUAUGUGCUUGUCACUCCAUAGGAGCGCAUGAUAGACUACUAAAUGGACAAGUAUCUGCAACGUUCAGCGUCAAAGAUGAUGCUUACCAGAUGUUCUACAGCAGCCCCAUCCAUAUCAUCGCCAUGAAGUUAGAUUUUGGCCUUCAUUCGUCAAAAGUUUGUGUACAAGGAAUUCCAGGAGAAGAAUCUUUAAGUAAAUAAUUUAUAUAGAUCAGGAUCUUAUGUUUUCGAGGUGGCUGCUGCUGUGACCAAAGAUCAGCCUGGAGAUGUGCACCAGUCUUUAGUUGAUGUUGCCACCAUGUUUUGGUGCCUGUGUAUUUGAUUGUAUGUACACAUGUUAUACUGUAGAACUUGAUGCUCAUCGGCUCUUGCGGCAUAUUGUACACCUGUAGAG